RNA transcript from Labrus mixtus (cuckoo wrasse), 3772 nucleotides. It is a transcript of the gene named ETS transcription factor ELK3, with no coding region annotated. The record is from RefSeq and is a predicted model, not a curated record. Lineage: Eukaryota; Metazoa; Chordata; Actinopteri; Labriformes; Labridae. The transcript is spliced from 6 exons.
UUUAGCUGUCAGAGCAGUGUAAUGAAAUGCCCGAACUUGACCUAUAUCUGUGUGCGUGCGUGUGUGUGUGUGUGUGUGUGUGUGUGUGUGUGUGUUGUACAGGAACAGGAACCCUCCCGGUGAGCAGGAACAGAAUGACGUCAGUUGUCAGUUGGCUCACUGCUGAGUUUUGUCGGAAUUGCAAUAUUGGUGUGUGUGUGUGUGUGUGUGUGUGUGUGUGUGUGUGUGUGUGUGUGAGAGAGAGAGAGAGAGAGAGAGAGAGAGAGAGAGAGACCUAGUGUAAUUAAAGGUGUGUGUGUGUGUGUGUGCAGUUCUGAAAAAAGUAUCUUUGUGCGUGUGCGAGUGAGUGGUUUAAGAGGGAGUGUGUUUAUGGGAAAUAGAGAUUGUGUGUGUGUGUGUGUGUGUGUGUGUGUGUGUGUGUGUGUGUGUGUGUGUGUGUGUGUGUGUGUGUGUGUGUGUGUGUGUGUGUGUGUGUGUGUUUACACAGACGGGAAUACAGCACCAAAGGAAGUGCGCCGGUUCUCCGUCUGAGCGUCCCGACUUCCUGCUCUGAGGCAGGACAGAGAAAAGCUGCGGAUCCGCUUUCAGACAGCAGCAGCAGCAGCAGCAGCAGCAGCAGCAGCAGCAUGGGGUUCCAUAGAUACACACACACACAGCUUUAAGGCACAAUCAGAAACAUCAGGCAGGACAGACGGACAUCGGAGCAGUUACAUCCACAGCUGGAUUGCCUGUCUCUGGUAUUUCUGGUGGCAUCCUGUCAUGGAGAGUUCAAUCACUCUCUGGCAGUUCCUGCUGCAGCUGCUGAUCGACCAAAGCCACAAACAUCUCAUCUGCUGGACGUCCAGCGACGGCGAGUUCAAGCUGCUUAAGUCAGAGGAAGUGGCCAAGCUGUGGGGGCUGCGCAAGAACAAGACCAACAUGAACUAUGACAAGCUGAGCAGAGCUCUGCGCUACUACUACGACAAAAACAUCAUAAAGAAGGUGAUCGGCCAGAAGUUCGUCUACAAGUUUGUGUCGUUCCCGGAGAUUCUGAAGAUGGACCCUGCGGUGGUGGAGUUGGGACGCAGCAGUGAGGAGGGAGGAGGUGCGACGUCAGAGCCUGAGGCUGACGAUGAGGACGGGGGAGGGAGAAACCAAUACCUCCAGUCGGGCCUGUACUCCUCCUUCACCGUCAGCUCCUUGCAGCACUCCUUAGAGCCGCACCACCUGAUAAAAGAGGAGCCCAGAUCUGAUCGGCAUGACGACAGCUCCUCUGUCAUCCGAUUCAUGACAAACCGAGGCCACUCCUCCCUUCCUCCCACCCCUCCCCCGUCCUCCUCCGAGACGUCCCACUCCUCCAGGCCAUCGCCUCGCCAGGCCCGCUCUUCCUCCUGCUCCUCCUCACCACCACAAAGCCCCGCCCACAGCCUGUGGAGGGGACGUUGCCUGAGCACAGACACUGAUGAGCUGGAGUACAGCGCUCAGCCCCUGAACCUGUCAUCUGGUCAGAGGGAGAGAUUGAGGUCACAGAGCACGUCGACACCAGAGAGGAGGGGACUAGCAAAUAACUUACCUUUGAGAUCGAGAAAACCCAAAGGCUUGGAAAUCUCCGCCUCCCCUCUCCUCCUGACAGGAAAUGACCUGGUCUCCAUAGCACUCAACAGCCCAGCGCUGCCUUCAGGGUCCAUGACCCCUGCCUUCCUCACCGCACAGGCGAGUGGAGUGGACGGGGAGAAAAGAGAAGGACAGUGUGUUUCAGGGAUGAGGAAAGUUAAGCUUGCAGACUGGGAGGAGAUGGAAAGAGACUCCGUCUGGUCUGGUGCUCACUCCCAGUCAUCUACUCUCUAAUAUCCAUUUCUGGUCCAGCAUGAGUCCAGUGGGGCCCCUCAGCCCUGCCCAACUCCAGAGCCAUGCACCCCUCUUCCAGUUCCCCACACUGCUGAAUGGACACUUCCCUGUGCCUUUUCCAAGCCUGGACAUGUCCUCUCCCCUGCUGCUCUCCUCCAGCUCCCAUAAGUCCUGAGAGAGAGAGAGAGAGAGAGAUAGAGAGAGAGAGAGGACCAAACCAAACAAGCCUUAAACUCAGAUGAUGAACCACACAGGAGUCGGACCUCGUCUCAGUCCAGCAGCACUCCUGAACCUGUUCCUUUAGCAUUUAAAUGAAGAAACAGGAACUUCACUCUGAAGAUUUGCUCUCUGAGAGGAACAUUUGCAUAAGAAAUUUUGUUGAGUGUACUACUCGUGUUCUUUAAAUGUGUAUUUAGUGCUUUCCUAUUUUCAAGAUGAAUUACUUUUCAUGGGAAGACCUCAUCUCAUCCCCCCUGAUUUACACUUUAAUGAUACAGACUUUUUUGCAGUUUCAUGAAUGUAAUUUCAGUCUUUUUCUUCCCCUCCAAAAAGAAAACUUGUCUGGAAUUAUGAUACAACUAAGUUGACAAAGAAUGUGCCUUUAGGCUUCUUUUAGUGUGUACUAUUGUAAAAUAUAAGAAAAUACACUUACUUUUUUACAAGUAUGCUUUUGUUCCUUAUACAGACAGGAGACUGUUUAUUUCAGCAUUAAGCCUUGAAUACAGGCAACAGGUUGCAUUGCUCGAUCCCAUGUUACAAAAGUCUAACUUUUUACUUCAAAAUGCUUAUUUGUGUAAUAGAGCAAACAUGUACAGAAGCCGUUGGCAGACAUGCAUCAAUACAUGUAAAAUUUCUUUGUUUUCCUGUGAUAACGAGUUAAUUACAGCCGCUUUCUCAUGAAAUGCACUAACAAUGGAAAACCAGCGUUGUUAUCCUGAGAUAAGAUUAAUGAGUUGUUGCAACCUUGAGAAAACAACUGAAAUGUACUCGUAAUCACGGGAAAACUGUGUAAUAUAAAAUGUAUGGAUGUACGUUUUCUUAAGGCUUCCAUAAAAAUCUAAAAACAUAAAUUGUAGUUUAAUGAGGGAGACAAAGUUGUCUGUUUCCCAUGACAACAAAAAUUACUGUUCUCGGUCACAAUAUAAUACCACUGUGAAGCCUGUCAUUUAUACAUAUCAUGUACAGACACAGCAAACACAAAAGAUGAUGUGUUAUUUAGAAAGCAGCUGUUUACAGUCUUUUUGCUAAGCUAACCGGCUGGUGGCUCUUUGUAUACAACUGACUGACUGAGUGUGGUAGCAAUUCUCUUGUCUAUUUAAAAAUAUUCCCGAAAAUAUAAAUAAUUCCAAUUCAAUUUUUAUGAUAUAAUGAUUUUAGGCGACACAGGUCUGUGACAGAUAGCAGCUUGAUUACACGAUUCCUGUUCUAGCUACGUCUUUACCAACAUGUAAAAAGUUUUAGGCGUCACCUCGACAUUUAACCACUGGUAGUGUCUCAUUUAUGAUUUUUGAGCCCCAACAUAAGUUUUGUAUAUACCCCAUUACUGUUUUAAAUGACAUUGACUCCUAGCAAAGCUAGCUGCUAGCUAGUGCGCCAAAAAGCUGAGCUCAUUUUGUUACAAUGCUUUGAAUCAACGCUGUGAACUUUUUUUUUGUUUCGUCAUCUCUGUAUAGUUUCACUUUUUUUUUCUUUUAAAUGCACUGUACUUUAAAGGCUUGUAUAGUACCAGCGGUGCCUUUGAUAGUGUCAGACUUCUUAAAUGUGUUGAGCUCUAAAACAUGUUUUACAGGUCAAGAUUGCACAACAGCUUUUUUCUUUUUGUAAAAUAGCUCCUGUUAUUUUUAUACUGAAAUUAAUGGAAGUAUAUUCUCAGUGAUUUUUCUUGCGUUUUAUUGGUAUGUUGAGAGAACUGUUAUUGUUUUUGGAAUAAAAUUAAUUACUUUUC